CCAUCCAAACCAAGUGUUUCUUAACACAGUCAUUACUAUCCCCCAGAGAAGAUCUCUCUGAGUGGACAUAUGGAACUCACUUGUUCUGAAGAGAUCGCUUCCUGGAGUUGAUGAUAGUUUUCCCUGUGUUUUUUGGAAAUCCCAAUUUGGUUUUCUCCAGUUCUGUCUGCCCUGGCCCCAGAGGACUUAUGUGAUUCUGGCGAAAGGACUAUUCAAAAGGGGGAGUUCUGACGGAAACUGUAGGGGCUGUGACUGCUCCUUCAGGGGGUGUGCUCUGUAUUUUAGCCCUGUGAUCUUCACUUGGAGCAAGGGUGAAGAUCAGCCCCAGCAUCACGCCUUCCAGUGCGUGAGCAGUGAGCAGGUGCAGAGGAGGGUUCAAAGAAAGCCCAGAGGGAAAGGCCAGUUCUCCCCAGUUAAGGCAGCCUCAGCCUGCCAGGUGGGCACUUUCCGGGUGCAACUUGCUCCAGUUCCUUGGUGCUUUGCAGAGCUAUCACCUGGCAGGUAC
Molecule: long non-coding RNA, 505 nt
Filed under: Rattus norvegicus (Norway rat)
Lineage: Eukaryota; Metazoa; Chordata; Mammalia; Rodentia; Muridae
Description: long non-coding RNA NONRATT019476
Source: RNAcentral